This 65-nucleotide transfer RNA is filed under the name Apicotermitinae gen. H sp. CMRT160. RNAcentral's name for it is "tRNA-Glu". It matches the Rfam family "tRNA". Rfam says of the family: Transfer RNA (tRNA) molecules are approximately 80 nucleotides in length. Their secondary structure includes four short double-helical elements and three loops (D, anti-codon, and T loops). The record is from RNAcentral. Lineage: Eukaryota; Metazoa; Arthropoda; Insecta; Blattodea; Termitidae.
AUUUAUAUAGUUUAAGACAAAACAUUACAUUUUCACUGUAAAGAUAAAGAAAACUUUUAUAAAUA